This 498-nucleotide ribosomal RNA is filed under the name uncultured bacterium. RNAcentral's name for it is "partial 16S ribosomal RNA". It matches the Rfam family "Bacterial small subunit ribosomal RNA", at positions 29 to 523 of the family's 1533-position model. The record is from RNAcentral.
AGUGAACGCUGGCGGUAGGCCUAACACAUGCAAGUCGAACGGUAACAGGUCUUCGGAUGCUGACGAGUGGCGAACGGGUGAGUAAUACAUCGGAACGUGCCUAGUAGUGGGGGAUAACUACUCGAAAGAGUGGCUAAUACCGCAUGAGAUCUACGGAUGAAAGCAGGGGAUCGCAAGACCUUGUGCUACUAGAGCGGCCGAUGGCAGAUUAGGUAGUUGGUGGGAUAAAAGCUUACCAAGCCGACGAUCUGUAGCUGGUCUGAGAGGACGAUCAGCCACACUGGGACUGAGAAACGGCCCAGACUCCUACGGGAGGCAGCAGUGGGGAAUUUUGGACAAUGGGCGCAAGCCUGAUCCAGCAAUGCCGCGUGCAGGAUGAAGGCCUUCGGGUUGUAAACUGCUUUUGUACGGAACGAAAAGCCCCGGGUUAAUACCCUGGGGUCAUGACGGUACCGUAAGAAUAAGCACCGGCUAACUACGUGCCAGCCGCCGCUGUAA